This 503-nucleotide ribosomal RNA is filed under the name uncultured bacterium. RNAcentral's name for it is "partial 16S ribosomal RNA". It matches the Rfam family "Bacterial small subunit ribosomal RNA", at positions 30 to 523 of the family's 1533-position model. The record is from RNAcentral.
AUUGAACGCUGGCGGCAUGCCUUACACAUGCAAGUCGAACGGCAGCACGGGAGCUUGCUCCUGGUGGCGAGUGGCGAACGGGUGAGUAAUACAUCGGAACGUACCCAGCAGUGGGGGAUAACGCACCGAAAGGUGCGCUAAUACCGCAUACGACCUACGGGUGAAAGCGGGGGACCGUAAGUCCUCGCGCUAUUGGAGCGGCCGAUGUCUGAUUAGCUAGUUGGCGGGGUAAUAGCCCACCAAGGCGACGAUCAGUAGCUGGACUGAGAGGACGAUCAGCCACACUGGGACUGAGACACGGCCCAGACUCCUACGGGAGGCAGCAGUGGGGAAUUUUGGACAAUGGGGGCAACCCUGAUCCAGCAAUGCCGCGUGUGCGAAGAAGGCCUUCGGGUUGUAAAGCACUCUUGUCAGGGAAGAAAUCUUUCAGGCUAAUACCCUUGGAAGGAUGACGGUACCUGAAGAAUAAGCACCGGCUAACUACGUGCCAGCAGCCGCCGUAA